AGUCGUAACAAGGUUUCCGUAGGUGAACCUGCGGAAGGAUCAUUACAGUAUUCUUUUGCCAGCGCUUAACUGCGCGGCGAAAAACCUUACACACAGUGUCUUUUUGAUACAGAACUCUUGCUUUGGUUUGGCCUAGAGAUAGGUUGGGCCAGAGGUUUAACAAAACACAAUUUAAUUAUUUUUACAGUUAGUCAAAUUUUGAAUUAAUCUUCAAAACUUUCAACAACGGAUCUCUUGGUUCUCGCAUCGAUGAAGAACGCAGCGAAAUGCGAUAAGUAAUAUGAAUUGCAGAUUUUCGUGAAUCAUCGAAUCUUUGAACGCACAUUGCGCCCUCUGGUAUUCCAGAGGGCAUGCCUGUUUGAGCGUCAUUUCUCUCUCAAACCCCCGGGUUUGGUAUUGAGUGAUACUCUUAGUCGGACUAGGCGUUUGCUUGAAAAGUAUUGGCAUGGGUAGUACUAGAUAGUGCUGUCGACCUCUCAAUGUAUUAGGUUUAUCCAACUCGUUGAAUGGUGUGGCGGGAUAUUUCUGGUAUUGUUGGCCCGGCCUUACAACAACCAAACAAGUUUGACCUCAAAUCAGGUAGGAAUACCCGCUGAACUUAAGCAUAUCUAAAAGUCG
This 618-nucleotide ribosomal RNA is filed under the name uncultured fungus. RNAcentral's name for it is "eukaryotic LSU rRNA". The stretch from base 215 to 368 matches the Rfam family "5.8S ribosomal RNA". Lineage: Eukaryota; Fungi. The record is from RNAcentral.